UCUCCACCUCCGCCUCCUCCA
Molecule: small RNA, 21 nt
Filed under: Arabidopsis thaliana (thale cress)
Lineage: Eukaryota; Viridiplantae; Streptophyta; Magnoliopsida; Brassicales; Brassicaceae
Description: ATSL007750
Source: RNAcentral